Molecule: unclassified non-coding RNA, 3132 nt
Filed under: Hevea brasiliensis (rubber tree)
Lineage: Eukaryota; Viridiplantae; Streptophyta; Magnoliopsida; Malpighiales; Euphorbiaceae
Source: RNAcentral
AUCAUUUUAAGUAAAAAAAUGGGAAGCAAAUGAAACAAAUGGAGCCAUAGCUAUCAUUCUUUACAGGCUUUCUUGAAAAUUCGAAUUAAAACAUUGACAUACAAUAAAACUACAGUUUAAAGUUAAGAUUGAUUUGUGAUUUUAUAUUUUUAUUUCUCUGAUCCAUGUGAAAAUGCAAAUAAUACAUAAAAUCAUAUCAUAUUUUUUCUCGAUACCAGCAUAUAACAUUGGCAAUUUUAUCACGUUCCUCACUGCCAAUCAUUUUCCACUUCAUCGCCAAAUCAAGCGACACCAAUGAAAUUAGCAGACAAACGCCAUGAUGCAUGCAGCAGCAACUGAAAUAAAAUACUUCUGCAGCCAUGUCAGAAGGGCUAACCCCUGCAUAUGAAAGUUCAUCUUAAACUUUCCUUUUCAACGGUUGCAGUAAGUGCAUCCUCUAAAGCUUGAGCGAAAGUUGCAAUCUUGUACGUGAAAAAUCCCACUAGCAUUGGUAUCAAUUCUAAGUCCAUAAAUCCAUAAUCUGGAACAAGGAUCCUGCGUCCAAAUAGCACUGUCAGGGAUGAAAUCAAGAUAGAUAUUCAGUGAUUUCUCAAAAAGAAUAGGUAUUUGCUGCAAAUCGGAUCUAAAAUAUGAGGAACCAUGCUGACCAACGUUUAAUAUUUGACUACAAAAUAAACCUUGUGAAAGAAUCCAUUAGAACACAUCCAUGCCAAAAAAAGGAGCCAAGAAUGGACUAACAAAGAAUCAAUCGGCGAAAGUAAUGAUCAAAGAUAAAAAUAAUAUUAUAUCUGAAGUGUUGAAAGUCUAAAAUAUAAUGCUAGAACCACAAUGUAAAUGAUAAUUUUAAAUCAAAUUGAAGGCUAGAAAUCUUAACAGUUGAUAAAGAUACUGUUCUUGAUCUUAACUCCAAUAGUAUUUCCACCUAACCCCACAUAUCAUUGAUUUCCAAUUUUCAAUAAUCUUCCUUCGAGAAAUAUUACAUCUUUAAUCAGCACUUUUUAGAUAUGGGGUCAAUUCAGUUUAGCAGUAAAUUAUAGUUUAAGAUUCAUAGAAUUUAGGCAUGUACUUGCAACCAGAAAAAAAAAAAGAAGAGAACUCUGUAAGGCAGAAUUAUAAAACAGGUAAAAGGCAAGGUACAAUCACCUUAUGAUGCAGAGAGAUUAGAAUUACUGAGGAUGUAGUUACAUACAAUCAAACAUAUAUAUAGAGCCGAUUUGGCUCUGCAGGCCAGAUUAUUUGCACAGAAACCAAGGCCAUAAAUAACAGUUUCUCAAGGAAGCUGCCAUUUUGGAGUCUUGGCAUUUGUGCAGCUGGGCCCCCUGUAGCAAAACUCACUCAUACACAAUACAGAUCAAAAUCUGAUCAUUAAAAUUGCAACUUAUAAAGCCAAAACUAUCCAGAAUAAUGAAUUGACUUCAGAAAGGAGCCCCUCAUUGUAACAAAUAAAGCAUUGUACCAAUAGUAGUAUGUUACAAUGAGCACUUACUCAUUCCACCGGUUAUAAAUCAUGACUAAGAUAACAGGAACCAGCAGCCUUGGCUGCCCAAUUGCGCCUCUGCAAGGAAAGCAUCAUUGAGCUAAAAAUCUGGCCUAAAACAAUAAAAGAAUACCAUGAUUAUCUUUGUUUUAGCCUUUUUUUAAAAAAACUUUUUUUUUUAUGUAUAUUAUUAACAACAAAGAUACCUGUUGAGCUUUCCAUAAAAUUACUGAAUCAGGUUAAUUGGUUAAGAAGUAAAAGCAAGAACGCCAUCAAGGAUGUGUAAAACCUAGCUUGCCAGUAGAAUUCAAUGUGCAUGAAGCAUGAACUAUGAAGCCAUUAUGAUAACAAAAAUCUAAGAGAGAAAGGCAGUUUAUACAUACUUGACAAGGCCCUUGGCUCCAUCUGCCAUGGAAUCAACAGUACUCCCAAGCAUACGUAUAUACACUAAAGAUCCAAUCAAUCCAGCACCAAAACUAGCUGCAAUUUCCGGAGAAUAAGAGAUAUAUGCUGAGACCAAUCCAACACCACCUAUACCCAAGGUAAGAAUCUGCAACUUCUUCUUCAACUUGAAAUACUGCUCCCUUGAUCGAGCAGCCAAUAAUUCAGGAUCACCUUGAGGCCUCCUUAUUUCCCUCAACAUCACAUCCUACAAGCUACGUGCAAAUGAGACCCCAAAAACUAAAAGCAUCUUUCAAAAUGACACUGAAUUCAAUAAAUACACGUAUGAAGAUCCCCAAGAGUAAACCCAAAGUUAACUUCAGAAUCCCCAAAGUUAACUGCAUAUUUCAUAAUCCCCAAAUUUAGGUUUAUAAUCAAAGAUCGUGAAAAGUUUAACAGGUGCCUAAGAAAACAUACCUAGCAUGAUAAAGGAUUGUAAAGUAAUAAAUGCACCCGUGGAAGUUCAUUGAGAUUAAUAUGCAAGACAAAGUAUGGAACAUACACUGCCUCCAGUUGCAGCCUUAGUUGCUUUAUCCCACUUCUCCUGCUCACGGCGUGUUGGUACCAAUCUCCAUUUUGUAGAGUUGCCAAUACUGCCCUUGGUUGCAGCCUCAAAUGGCAGUCCUGACAUCGGCUUUGGAGUUUGUGUAAGCUCUUUACUCAAAUCAACUUCCAAGUUAUCCAAACUCAUGACUCUGUUUAAACUUAGAAAUCCAGAGGACUCUUCCUUAACAGGGGAGGGUUCAGGAGAGGACACAUCAGAUUCCUGAAUCAAUCUCUCCAUACGACCCAUGAAGUCUUUGUUCCAAAUAAACUCAUCGGAGGUUAAAGGGUCUUCUUCUUCACCUCCCCAGUACUUGCGGAUGCCAGAGGUGGUGGGUGGACCUCCAUACUCCCCAGGUGCUACCCCAGUGGACCAUUUCAAAGGCUUCUUUUUGGGCAGUAUCGCUUUGGUCUGUCUUGGGUUUGGAAUUUGUGGCGUUGUUGAGGAGUCUGGGGAUAUGGGUGCUGUCGUUGAGGUCACCAAAAUGUAGUUUAGUACAGCCAUUGGAGGAGUUGUUAGAGAUGUGCGUCAGGCAAAAAUGCUGCAAAACUUGGAUCCUUUAGUCGCUCAGCCGGUGGUGGUGGCCACUAGUUUGACGCGUAUCUGUGUUUUCUGGUGAACUUGGAUAUUUUACAUUCGAAUGAGGAAAGGCACUUGGGCACGGAUGGAA